This 367-nucleotide long non-coding RNA is filed under the name Mytilus galloprovincialis (Mediterranean mussel). Lineage: Eukaryota; Metazoa; Mollusca; Bivalvia; Mytilida; Mytilidae. The record is from RNAcentral.
CACAAUUAUGUAAAAAUAGUAGUGAGCAACAGUUUUCACACUUGUUUCAACUGGUCGGCAGAUAUACAAACUCUACCACCCUACGUCCCUGACGCCAGUCAAACACCUGAUUUUCAUUUUGAAGAUCGUCUUCAUGACUCUUUUUCAUAUUCAUUUUCAAUUUUUAAUUUUAGAAAAACAAGUUCAUUCUCCUAGAAGUAACAUACUUUCCGUCAAAUUUACCGUUGACGUUGUCCCAUCGAAAAGUCGCCGGGUGCAAUUUUAACAUUGCAAAAUCUGGUCAAAGGGACGUAAUUCGUACAAAACGUCGCAAUAUUUCGCGGAAUCCGCUAGACGGCGUUCAUUUACUGUUACUUGACCUUAAGUU